RNAcentral lists this ribosomal RNA (497 nucleotides) under uncultured bacterium. Its description in RNAcentral is "partial 16S ribosomal RNA". It matches the Rfam family "Bacterial small subunit ribosomal RNA", at positions 28 to 507 of the family's 1533-position model. The record is from RNAcentral.
GAUGAACGCUGGCGGCGUGCCUAAUACAUGCGAGUCGAGCGAACAGACGAGGAGCUUGCUCCUCUGACGUUAGCGGCGGACGGGUGAGUAACACGUGGAUAACCUACCUAUAAGACUGGGAUAACUUCGGGAAACCGGAGCUAAUACCGGAUAAUAUAUUGAACCGCAUGGUUCAAUAGUGAAAGACGGUUUUGCUGUCACUUAUAGAUGGAUCCGCGCCGCAUUAGCUAGUUGGUAAGGUAACGGCUUACCAAGGCAACGAUGCGUAGCCGACCUGAGAGGGUGAUCGGCCACCCUGGAGCUGAGACACGGUCCAGACUCCUACGGGAGGCAGCAGUAGGGAAUCUUCCGCAAUGGGCGAAAGCCUGACGGAGCAACGCCGCGUGAGUGAUGAAGGUCUUCGGAUCGUAAAACUCUGUUAUUAGGGAAGAACAAAUGUGUAAGUAACUAUGCACGUCUUGACGGUACCUAAUCAGAAAGCCACGGCUAACUACGUG